CAGUGGGGCCCUGGAGCUUGGGAGCAGGCAGCCCACCCACCCGGAGCAUGACGAAGCCCCUUGCGGGGCCAGGGGGUUCCCCAUUGGUCCCCGGCUGCUGCCCCUGGCCCCAGGGAGCACAAAGGCCUGCAGAGCUGAUGCACAGACCAGCCAAGCCAACCCCUCCUGUUUCUCCCCCACCCAGGGGCUGCCCAUGCCAAGGUCAUGGCAGUGAGCUCUUUGGACAAGAGACUGUGUCUUCCUGUGCACUGGGACAGUCCGUGGUGCUUCUUCAGUGCUACUGUAAUACAAGAACAUGGCAAAUAAAAAGAUGGAAAUAUUCUCCCCUCUGGAAGCUGUGCAAAUCUGUGCUGUGCUGGAGGACUGUCUUGAUCAGCUUGCUAUUCUUGGAUAUAUUAUGCCAGUUUCCUAUGAGGGCAGGACAGACAUCAGCAAUGCAGGAUGCGAGUGAUGUGAUUGCAGAAACUUUGCAGGAAAUGCAGACUUCAGGAACGUUUCAGAGUCUGCUGCAAGCUGUGCAGAGAGAGAAGGAGAGGAAGUCUAACUUCCACACCACCAUCAUCAGGGAGGAGGAAGGAAGGAAGGAGAUAAAGUCCCUCCAGAAACGGCUGCAAGAUGUCAAGAAAGAAAAGGAAUUAGAACUUCAGAACCGGAAUGAGAUGAUUGCAUACCUCAAAGACCAGCUUCAAGAGAUGAAGGCCAAGACAGACAUGGAGAGCCGCUAUGUGAAGAAAGACACAGAGCUCCAAGUCUACCAGACCCAGAAAAAGUGCAGCAACGCAGAGAGUGACCUGGUCAAUGAAAUUGAGAAGCUGAGGAUCAAAACUGAUGAGGAGAUUAGAGUGCACGUGGAGAUUGAAAAUUUCCUCAGGCAACAACAGAUGAAGUUGGAAGAGAAGCUAGAAUACUGGAUGGAGAAGUAUGAAAAGGACACGGAAUCUAAACAGCAAGAACUGAACACUCUAAAAGCAUCCAAGGCAAAUGAUUUAGCAGCACUGCAGGAACUAGCCAAGCAGUGCCGGUUAUUUGAGCAAGCCAUCAUGGAGGAUCGGGUGGAAAAGGAGGCAGCGAGAAGAAAGGUGGAGCAGGAUGCGCUGGAAUUAAAGAGCAUCAAGAAGCUCCAGGCCUGGUGGAGAGGCACAAUGGUUCGCCAUAACAUCGGUCCCUAUAAGGCCCUGAAGAAGUCUAAAGAGGACGAGCCAAAGGGCAAAGACAAAGGGAAAAAGGAAAAAGCUGGAGCUAAGAAAAGGAAGUGAUGGCCACAGACUCCUGCUCUCAUUAGACCCACGGGCCCUGGAAGUUUGGGCUCUCGCCAGGGAGGAACACUGGCUUGUGUGCACAGAGUAAGAAAUAAAGUCCUCAGCAGAGUUCAGGGCCAGGGCUCUGGGCCAGGCUGGAGUUCAUUUUCUUGACAGGAAGGAGUUUAAGAUGAAGUUUCUUGCACAGGUCUGACCUCUCCAGCUCAAGGUGCCAUGGAAACAGAAUCCACAUCAGAAUCGGUGACUGAGGCAGAGGACUGAGGUCAGGAAAUCCUGUAAUUUCUAAGUUCUUUACUGAGCUGGGUAUUACCCACUUUUUACAGAUGUGAAACCAGAAGCACAGUGAAGCAGCUGAUAUAGCAAAUCAGUGGCCGAAUGGCUCAGGAUGUUAUUAGUCAUGGGACAGGCAGUGCCAUUUUUAGGCUACUUGAUCAAAUUCAGCCUACUUUAGUAAGCAGCUGAAAGUUACCAUACAAUGACUUUUCAGUGACCUAUAUAAAAUGACAUGGAAGGUCUCCAUGUAGUUCUCAGCAGAGAGGUAUCUAUGGAACACCACCACCACCACCACCACCAAACGGCAGCCAUACAGACUGUAACAACUCAGCAGAGCUGUCAAGGACUAAACGGAAUGUCAACCGUUCUCUCAGCCCAGCAAUGGCUCCUCAGGUCUGAGUGAAGACCAGGAUACAGAGGGGAAGAUUACACUACUCCUGCUUACCUGCAAUACUCAGCUGCAGAUAAAAAUGGAGGACUUCACUCUUCAGGGCUGCCAAUUCUGUUGCUUGGCUCAGUACUAAAGUUCAUCAAAAAAAUUAAAAGGUUUUAAAAGCAACGAAGCCAAGAAGUUCUUGGUGCAAGGAGAGGAAGACUCAUUAUUGCUGGGAAAAGGUUGUCAACACUUCACCUAGAACAAUCUAUAAUUGGUGCAUCCCUGAGUCUUUAAUUUAUAGCCAACUCUGACUGUGAACGCUAAGGGACCUCUUCACCACCACUUGUCUACAGCCCCAACAAUAAGAUGGAUGCCUGACGGACAGAAGAUAAAGCACCCACCUUGAAAGUCUUACAAUAUUACAUGUAAAAAUGAAAGGAAAUAGAGUGCAACAGAGCUGCAUGAGUGAAAGAUGGAGUCUCGCAUGGUUCGUAGUACAGUCACCAUUUUUGUUUGGAUUUUGCGGGGGAAGAUCACGCAUCCAAAACUAAAACUUCUCCAUGUGGAAGGGGGACUAGGUCUUCUGGAGGAAGUGUGUUUUAAGGAGGCACACAGAGGAACAGGUGCGAGCCCUGUAGGGCAGUUAAGAAGAGAUGCCAAGUAUAGAGGGCCAGAGACAGCAUGAAGAAUGGACUGUGGUAUAGGAAGUCAAAUUAGAUGAUCUGGUGGUUAGUCUCUUCUGGCCUUAAGCUCUAUGACUGACUGAGAGAAGAUCACACAAGGGGUGAUUAAGUUAUGAGGCUGAGGCAGAGCAGAGGGAGGCCGGACCCAAGCUGUACAGAGUCCUGAGGGUGAAAACCUGGAGCCUGAAAACUGAAGCAAAAGUCAAGAGGCCAUUGGUCAAGGGAUCUGAAGAGUGGACCUGGAGUGGGGGACACGGCCGAUGUGGUAGCACUGUGGACCAACUGGAGGUGGGGUGGGAGGGAGAGCACCAUAUAUGAAGCAAGGUAGGAAGUUCUGUGGCUGCUAGCAACUUUUAGGCCUCUCACUUGUUUGCUGUAAACUCUAGUUACAAAGGAGGGAGGAAAGGAGGAACAAACAUUUUGUGCCAUCAGAAAAACUUUCCUAUUAUUGAGGGGAAGACUGGUGCAAACUUCACAGAACUGAACACUAGACAGGAUAAAUAACAUGAGAACGUAAUACAGAGAGCAGCUGUGCACUGGCUGUGGCUAACAGCCCAUGUGACCUAAAAAGUAUUUUCCACCACUAACUUCUACGAAUGAACGGGGAGCUGAUUCUGAGGAACACUAUAGUUAUUCUCAGGGGCAGGAGCUAGAAAGGCUGCAGAGAAACAGGUUCUGAUUACAUCUGCUGAAAGAAACAUACUGAAUGCAAACAUACACUGUCUCCUUCUCUGGCCCUUCAGUCGUUAUGCUGAAAGAACAAUUUUUUCCUAUACCAAGCUCCUAAGACCACCAGAAAAAACAUCCGUUCUCUUAAUAAAUAUGACAAUUCAGAAAGUAAAUACACACUUGAUACAUAGGAAUUGACAAUCACUGAUGCAAAUAUAAAAAUAUAAGGAGGAAGAAAUAUUUCAGUUCAUGUAGGUUUGAAAACUUUAUUUCAAAUUACCCAGGUAUUUGGUUUUAUAUUAUCAGUGUGCUAGAAGUUCACACAACUAGCAGCAAACAGGCAAUUUAAAAUAACAUACACAAUAUUCUGGCAUAUUAUUACUUAACAGUCUUAGAAAUUAUGGAAUGUAUUUACAGACAUAUAAGUAUAGGCGGAGCUUUAAAAAUCCUUUACUUUAUUAAUUACACGUUUACAAGGUUUUCAGAAACAAAAUUAGAUUGUUUGUAAAACACAGUAUCUAUACAAAAGAUUUUUUUUAUAGGUUUAAAUCCACCUUAGAAUUCCUCUGCUUCUAAAACCAAAAUGUCAAAGAACCAUUUAAUGUCAUAAAAGGAUUAAAAAUCACCAGUUAUCACAUCACUGCUAAGAGCAACAGAAGCGUUCUCAGUGCUGUAAAACGCUGUCGAGAAUUUAAUAACCCAGCCAGGAAGGGGCUUUCCGAACAAGUUUCUCUCGUCGCUAGCUCCCAAGGAGGAGAAACCAAAAUCCCCUAUUUCCUGACCAGACCAUUUCAACACCAUCAAGGACCAUUAAGUGCCAGUGCCACUUCAAUGUCUAUUUCAUAACAUUCUUGAUCCUCAGUGUUCUUCAGUGCUUAGCAAGGUUUGUGUAGGGUCAUAGCACAGUGGAGUUAACAUAAACCUACUAGCAAGCACUACACUCUGAAAUGGAUUCUUCCCCAACACAAACUCCCCAAAAGGGCAAGACCACAAUUGAUUCUUGAUUUAGCACACAAAAUGAAAUCAAAUACGUUUUCUUUAAAAUAUUUUUUCACUGGAUAUAACAAAAAUUGCACAUAAAUAUACACCUCUACCUCGAUAUAACGCUGUCCUCGGGAGCCAAAACAUCUUAUUGUGUUACAGGAGAAACCGCAUUAUAGCGAACUUGAUUUGAUCCGCCGAAGCGCAGCCCCGCCCCCCCAGAGCACUGCUUUACUGUGUUAUAUCCCAAUUUGUGUUAUAUUGGGUGGUGUUAUAACGGGGUAGAGGUGUACCAAAAAAUCCCAACCCAUUUAAUUACAACAGAAAAUGGAAGUGUUUUUUGGUAUAAUACAUCACAAAUAAACCGUGUCUUGAAAUUUCAGAUUUGGAUUUUCAUCCUUGAUGUCUGGUCAACAUUUAGUGUUUGCCAGCACGAAAA
This is an RNA transcript of Gopherus evgoodei (Goodes thornscrub tortoise), 4680 nucleotides long. It is a transcript of the gene named IQ motif containing G, with no coding region annotated. Lineage: Eukaryota; Metazoa; Chordata; Testudines; Testudinidae. The transcript has 11 exons. The record is from RefSeq and is a predicted model, not a curated record.